UAAAUAGCCCGGCUCUCCCAAUCGCGGGAGGUCGCAGGCUUCUUAGAGGGACGAUCGGCUUCUAGCCGGUGGAGGUAUGAGGUAAUAACAGGUCUGUGAUGCCCUUAGAUGUUCUGGGCCGCACGCGCGCUACACUGACAGGGCCAGCGAGUCGAUUUCAUUGCCCUUGGCCGAAAGGUCUG
Molecule: ribosomal RNA, 182 nt
Filed under: Basidiomycota sp.
Lineage: Eukaryota; Fungi; Basidiomycota
Description: partial small subunit ribosomal RNA
Rfam family: Eukaryotic small subunit ribosomal RNA
Source: RNAcentral